GACGAACGCUGGCGGCGUGCUUAACACAUGCAAGUCGAACGGAAAGGCCCUGCUUUUGUGGGGUGCUCGAGUGGCGAACGGGUGAGUAACACGUGAGUAACCUGCCCUUGACUUUGGGAUAACUUCAGGAAACUGGGGCUAAUACCGGAUAGGAGCUCCUGCUGCAUGGUGGGGGUUGGAAAGUUUCGGCGGUUGGGGAUGGACUCGCGGCUUAUCAGCUUGUUGGUGGGGUAGUGGCUUACCAAGGCUUUGACGGGUAGCCGGCCUGAGAGGGUGACCGGCCACAUUGGGACUGAGAUACGGCCCAGACUCCUACGGGAGGCAGCAGUGGGGAAUAUUGCACAAUGGGCGGAAGCCUGAUGCAGCAACGCCGCGUGCGGGAUGACGGCCGUCGGGUGGUAAACCGCUUUCGCCUGUGACGAAGCGUGAGUGACGGUAAUGGGUAAAGAAGCAACGGCUAACUACGUG
RNAcentral lists this ribosomal RNA (468 nucleotides) under uncultured bacterium. RNAcentral's name for it is "partial 16S ribosomal RNA". It matches the Rfam family "Bacterial small subunit ribosomal RNA", at positions 28 to 507 of the family's 1533-position model. The record is from RNAcentral.